AGUGAACACCUACAUCUUUAUAUUACCAUACAUAUUGGCUGAUAUUGGCUCAGCAUGCAUACAGCCACAGUAAUGUAGUAAUUUAAUCUGUUUCACUGAGUAAUCAGUGAAGUCCCAUGGACAAUAUGUACCUAAUUCGUGUAAUUCGCAUAUGAUUUGGGCCGUUCGCCGAAGAGGCCGGACUAUGCAUGUCAAUGCGUUUCACAAAGCGAAGAUCCGAUGCGAUAAGUGGCACAAUACACGGUCGAUCACCUACCCAUCGUGACCAUAGUACCUAUAAACAUACUUGUAAGUAUGUAUAAACUAAACACGAUGACGAUGUCACACUUAAAACAAAAGAGAAAUGGCUCUAUUUUAUGGUGGAGGCUCGGGCGUGGCGUCUCGUCGUGUUAAUAUAGUUGAGUAGUGCAGAAGAGGGACCAUUGCGGCUCCUAGCACUAUGGCACCGUAUGUCGGCUUGUGGACCAACCUGAAAUAAAACGGGAAGUUUUUAUUAAAACCUUGUUCUACAAAUGUUAUGCCAAUUAAAUAAUUUAUGUUUUA
Long non-coding RNA from Helicoverpa zea (corn earworm), 543 nucleotides. RefSeq lists it as uncharacterized. The record is from RefSeq and is a predicted model, not a curated record. NCBI's taxonomy places the organism in Eukaryota, Metazoa, Arthropoda, Insecta, Lepidoptera, Noctuidae. The transcript is spliced from 2 exons.